RNAcentral lists this long non-coding RNA (1187 nucleotides) under Homo sapiens (human). RNAcentral describes it as "non-protein coding LINC01708:21". The record is from RNAcentral. Lineage: Eukaryota; Metazoa; Chordata; Mammalia; Primates; Hominidae.
AUUCUGCAGAUAUAACUUGAUGACCCUGGAUGCAAAGGUAUUUUCUAGCUCCUUGAUUUUUAAUUUUAUUCAAACAAAUUGAAAGCCAGCUGUCAUUUGAUUACUCUUUGGCUAGAUCUUUAGUUUUGUCUACCAAAGGCUACUGAAAUUAGAAAUAAUAAUAAUAGUAUUUUGUACUGAAACGUGAAUGUGUUGUGAACGUGAUAAAUAUUUUAAAAAUAUUUAGUUGAAUCCUCUCAAACAAACCUAAAAAAUGGUAACAUUAUUAUGAUCAGUAUUCACAGAUGAGGGAAACUGAGGCUCAGAGAAAUAAAGUAAUGUGCCUGUCGUAAGUGACUGUCGUAGUUCGUUCAGGCUGCUGUAACAAAAUACCGUAGACUGAGUAAUUUAUAAACAACAUAAAUUUAUUUCUCACAGUUCUAGAGACUGGGAAGUCCAAGAUCAAAGUGCCAGCAGAUUCGAUGUGUGGCGAGAACUCUCUGCUUCAUAAAUGAUGCCUUGUUGCUGUGUCCUUACGUGAUGGAAGAGGCAAGGGGCCUCUCAGUCUCUUUUAUCAGAACGUUAGUCCCAUGUCUGAGGGUGGAGCCCUCAUGACCAUAUCACCUCCCAAAGGCCCCACCUCUUAAUACCAUCACUCUGGGGGUUAGGUUUCAAGAUAUGUACUUUAGUGGGACACACACAUUCAGUCCAUAGCAGUGGUACAGUUGGGAGUCAGGUUCAGAUAUGUCAACUUUGAGAACUUCAUUCUUUGAGAGCCUAUUUGAUUUUUUUUUUUUAAUGAGAUGGAGUCUCUCACUGUCGCCCGGGCUGGAGUGCAAUGGCACCAUCUCGGCUCACUGCAACCUCUGCCUCCUGGGUUCAAACGAUUCUCCUGCCUCAGCCUCCCAAGUAGCUGGGAUUACAGGCACCCACUACCACACCAGGCUAAUUUUUUGUAUUUUUAGUAGAGAUGGGAUUUCAUUAUGUUGGCCAGGCUGGUCUCAAACUCUUGACCUCAUGAUCCACCCACUUGAACCUCCCAAAGUGCUGGGAUUACAGAUGUGAGCCCCCGCGCCCAGCCUAUUUGAUUCUUAAAUACCAUCCUCUCUACUGAUUUACAUGAAGGUAGAAUAUUUUUGCAUCCCAAAGAAUUAGCCUGUGUGCUAAUCCCUUAUUGGGGAAUGAAUGUAGAGCAGGAAUGAGAGGAA